This is a non-coding RNA of Gymnothorax javanicus (giant moray), 72 nucleotides long. Lineage: Eukaryota; Metazoa; Chordata; Actinopteri; Anguilliformes; Muraenidae. The record is from the annotation of a GenBank genome assembly.
GCUGAUGUAGCCUAGUGGUUUGGGUGAAGCGCUGCAUCCUAUUUCGCCAGGGUUCAAGUCCCAGUCUCGGCA